This 524-nucleotide ribosomal RNA is filed under the name uncultured bacterium. Its description in RNAcentral is "bacterial SSU rRNA". It matches the Rfam family "Bacterial small subunit ribosomal RNA", at positions 355 to 896 of the family's 1533-position model. The record is from RNAcentral.
UGGGGAAUUUUGGGCAAUGGGCGCAAGCCUGACCCAGCAACGCCGCGUGGAGGAUGAAGGUUUUCGGAUCGUAAACUCCUGUCUAGAGGGACGAAGAAGAUGACGGUACCUCUGGAGGAAGCCCCGGCUAACUCCGUGCCAGCAGCCGCGGUAAUACGGGGGGGGCGAGCGUUGUUCGGAAUUACUGGGCGUAAAGGGCGCGUAGGCGGUAUGGGAAGUCAUGGGUGAAAGUCCUCGGCUCAACCGAGGGAUUGCCUGUGAAACCACCUUACUGGAGUGCUGGAGAGGGAAGUGGAAUUCCCAGUGUAGCGGUGAAAUGCGUAGAUACUGGUAGGAACACCCAUUGCGAAGGCAGCUCUCUGGACAGCACGUGACGCUGAGGCGCGAAAGUGUGGGGAGCAAACCGGAUUAGAUACCCGGGUAGUCCACACCCUAAACGAUGCAUACUUGGUGCCGGCCCGUUGGGGUCGGAGCCGGAGCUAACGCGUUAAGUAUGCCGCCUGGGAAGUACGGCCGCAAGGUUG